This 226-nucleotide ribosomal RNA is filed under the name uncultured bacterium. RNAcentral describes it as "partial 16S ribosomal RNA". It matches the Rfam family "Bacterial small subunit ribosomal RNA", at positions 15 to 230 of the family's 1533-position model. The record is from RNAcentral.
GACCAUGGCUCAGGAUGAACGCUAGCUACAGGCUUAACACAUGCAAGUCGAGGGGCAGCAUGGUCUUAGCUUGCUAAGGCUGAUGGCGACCGGCGCACGGGUGAGUAACACGUAUCCAACCUGCCGUCUACUCUUGGCCAGCCUUCUGAAAGGAAGAUUAAUCCAGGAUGGCAUCAUGAGUUCACAUGUCCGCAUGAUUAAAGGUAUUUUCCGGUAGACGAUGGGG